RNAcentral lists this long non-coding RNA (321 nucleotides) under Mustela putorius furo (domestic ferret). RNAcentral describes it as "lncRNA (ENSMPUG00000029569.1)". The record is from RNAcentral. Lineage: Eukaryota; Metazoa; Chordata; Mammalia; Carnivora; Mustelidae.
GAAAGGGCAUUUGUCAUGGUGGAUGGGAUUCUGGGGGUUGCUUUUUCAGUGUUGCCUCUUCUUCUUUCUCAGAGAUGACCCAUAAGUUGGCCCAAAUGGACCGGUAGCCAAUGAGAAUGUCAGCCCUUCCAUAAGCCCGUCUCCGCAGAGCUACAGGCAUUUUCAGGCCUCAUCUAGCCUCCUCAUGGGAACAAUUCCAGAUAUUUGGACAUGAUCUUGAUGAGCCUUCGCCUUGCUUUUCUUCUGGAGAAUGUAAGUCACCAGCAGACAUGUACAUGACUUUUCAGUCUAUUUGCAAAACUCCAGGUGUUAGAGACAUUU